Molecule: small RNA, 1030 nt
Filed under: Rattus norvegicus (Norway rat)
Lineage: Eukaryota; Metazoa; Chordata; Mammalia; Rodentia; Muridae
Description: uncharacterized LOC102551719
Source: RNAcentral
UUCUGUGAGGUAUUAUAUUACAGCAGCAAGAGAAGUUCCUCAGCCCUAUAGGUUUCCUGAGCCUCCUAUGAUCCCUUAGUUCCCUAGUCUUUUCUCUUCCUCUGUCCCAAAAGGGUCAUUUCCACUUGGAGGAAAUGACUACACAAGGCCUGAAGUAAAGCUAUCUUCUCAUUUGGCUUCCCACUAUGGCUUCAUAACUAUGAGGAUUUUACUGCUGAAGAAUUUCAUCUCUUCAUCCUACCUGACCUGCAAAGAAACCCUAAGCACCCUUCCUGGAUCAAUGCAGACAAAGGCUUGCUCCUGAGGGCAGUGAGCAGCCGCAGAAGCACCUUUAUCUUCCACCCCAUCUUUAUUUACACCCUCUCAACAUCAAAGCCAAGAGAAUCUUCCUUCAGUCUGGUGUUCAGGGCAGAGCUGAAAAGAGAUGGAGCUCAAAUCCUGCAUGCAGCCAGGAUCCUAUGCUGAUGAAAAAUCAAAAUCUGGAUUUGUAAAGGUCCGUGUAUUUAUCCAGGAACCAGCAGACAGAGAACUUCUAAUUCCACUGGGCUCCACUUGGCCUGGUACCAACUGCUUGGCCCGCCGAUGGAUUAAAUUUGGGUUGCCCUCAGGAUUCCGUGUUCAACCAUCUGGAUCUGCUGCUGUGUCACCACGGAGGCUCCUUCUAGCCUGAUGUUCCUUCUAUGCACAUAUCCAAUCAGAAUUACAUUCCACUGAAGAAUCAUUCCAACUCAGCCCCAGGGAAUCUAACUGCAAAUUCUUCUGAUAAGGUACCUUCUACAGAGUAACCCUACACCAAAGAAUUCCUAAGAAAACAGGAAAAUAUAUCAUUUCUCUGGAUCUGGUGUGAAAAGAACUGAACUAUUUUUUACCAAGCUUUUGCUCUCAAAACUUAUUUCAAGAAUAAGAUAAGUGAAGGAACCUAGUGUUCAAACCUGCUCUGCUACCACACAGCACAGGACAAGUCACUGAAGACACCGUCAGCCAUCCCACCUGUCCUCAUGACUUCUUUUCUGACCCUCCUGCAGGUAAA